CCCUCAUUGUACAUGCUGUGUGUAUUUCUGUUGGGUACACAGCGCAUGCAAUGUGGACA
Molecule: microRNA precursor, 59 nt
Filed under: Gekko japonicus
Lineage: Eukaryota; Metazoa; Chordata; Lepidosauria; Squamata; Gekkonidae
Description: Gja-Mir-460-P2_pre stem-loop
Rfam family: mir-460 microRNA precursor family
Source: RNAcentral